GCCGCGUUCGUCUAACGGUUAGGACGUAGCCCUCUCAAGGCUGUAAUACGGGUUCGAUUCCCGUACGCGGUA
This 72-nucleotide transfer RNA is filed under the name bacterium. RNAcentral's name for it is "tRNA-Glu". It matches the Rfam family "tRNA". From Rfam's summary of the family: Transfer RNA (tRNA) molecules are approximately 80 nucleotides in length. The record is from RNAcentral.